GUUGAACGCUGGCGGCGUGCCUAAUACAUGCAAGUCGAGCGAACGGACGAGAAGCUUGCUUCUCUGAUGUUAGCGGCGGACGGGUGAGUAACACGUGGAUAACCUACCUAUAAGACUGGGAUAACUUCGGGAAACCGGAGCUAAUACCGGAUAAUAUUUUGAACCGCAUGGUUCAAAAGUGAAAGACGGUCUUGCUGUCACUUAUAGAUGGAUCCGCGCUGCAUUAGCUAGUUGGUAAGGUAACGGCUUACCAAGGCAACGAUGCAUAGCCGACCUGAGAGGGUGAUCGGCCACACUGGAACUGAGACACGGUCCAGACUCCUACGGGAGGCAGCAGUAGGGAAUCUUCCGCAAUGGGCGAAAGCCUGACGGAGCAACGCCGCGUGAGUGAUGAAGGUCUUCGGAUCGUAAAACUCUGUUAUUAGGGAAGAACAUAUGUGUAAGUAACUGUGCACAUCUUGACGGUACCUAAUCAGAAAGCCACGGCUAACUACGUGCCAGCAGCCGCGGUAAUACGUAGGUGGCAAGCGUUAUCCGGAAUUAUUGGGCGUAAAGCGCGCGUAGGCGGUUUUUUAAGUCUGAUGUGAAAGCCCACGGCUCAACCGUGGAGGGUCAUUGGAAACUGGAAAACUUGAGUGCAGAAGAGGAAAGUGGAAUUCCAUGUGUAGCGGUGAAAUGCGCAGAGAUAUGGAGGAACACCAGUGGCGAAGGCGACUUUCUGGUCUGUAACUGACGCUGAUGUGCGAAAGCGUGGGGAUCAAACAGGAUUAGAUACCCUGGUAGUCCACGCCGUAAACGAUGAGUGCUAAGUGUUAGGGGGUUUCCGCCCCUUAGUGCUGCAGCUAACGCAUUAAGCACUCCGCCUGGGGAGUACGACCGCAAGGUUGAAACUCAAAGGAAUUGACGGGGACCCGCACAAGCGGUGGAGCAUGUGGUUUAAUUCGAAGCAACGCGAAGAACCUUACCAAAUCUUGACAUCCUUUGACAACUCUAGAGAUAGAGCCUUCCCCUUCGGGGGACAAAGUGACAGGUGGUGCAUGGUUGUCGUCAGCUCGUGUCGUGAGAUGUUGGGUUAAGUCCCGCAACGAGCGCAACCCUUAAGCUUAGUUGCCAUCAUUAAGUUGGGCACUCUAAGUUGACUGCCGGUGACAAACCGGAGGAAGGUGGGGAUGACGUCAAAUCAUCAUGCCCCUUAUGAUUUGGGCUACACACGUGCUACAAUGGACAAUACAAAGGGCAGCGAAACCGCGAGGUCAAGCAAAUCCCAUAAAGUUGUUCUCAGUUCGGAUUGUAGUCUGCAACUCGACUACAUGAAGCUGGAAUCGCUAGUAAUCGUAGAUCAGCAUGCUUCGGUGAAUACGUUCCCGGGGUCU
Molecule: ribosomal RNA, 1373 nt
Filed under: uncultured bacterium
Lineage: Bacteria
Description: bacterial SSU rRNA
Rfam family: Bacterial small subunit ribosomal RNA
Source: RNAcentral